CCAGCAGCCGCGGUAAUUCCAGCUCCAAUAGCGUAUAUUAAAGUUGUUGCAGUUAAAAAGCUCGUAGUUGAAUUUGUGGCUUGUGCCGCGGCGUCCAUUUGCUUGGUUCUGCUGUGGCCUUGCCAUCUUUGGGUGGAUCCUGUGUGGCAUUAGGUUGUCGUGCAGGGGAUGCCCAUCGUUUACUGUGAAAAAAUUAGAGUGUUCAAAGCAGGCUUAUGCCGUUGAAUAUAUUAGCAUGGAAUAAUAAGAUAGGUCUUUGGUCCUAUUUUGUUGGUUUGCGGGCCGGAGAAAUGAUUAACAGGGACAGUUGGGGGUAUUCGUAUUCCAUUGUCAGAGGUGAAAUU
This 344-nucleotide ribosomal RNA is filed under the name uncultured eukaryote. RNAcentral describes it as "SSU rRNA". It matches the Rfam family "Eukaryotic small subunit ribosomal RNA", at positions 567 to 918 of the family's 1831-position model. The record is from RNAcentral.